UAGGUGUCCUAGAGGUGUAGAAGCCUCUAAGGGUAGGUCUGUUCGCCCUUUAAAAUCUAACAUGAGCUGAGUUCAGAACGGCGUGAGCUAGUUCAGUUUCUAUCCUCUUUUAAAAAUAAGCUAAUUUUGUACGAAAGGACUUUUUCGCUAAAGUAAUGCUUUGGCCCAGCCCUAUAAUUACACAAAUAUUGGUACAUGACGGGCUGAUCAACUCAUAAAAAGGGCUG
This 227-nucleotide ribosomal RNA is filed under the name Mytilus galloprovincialis (Mediterranean mussel). RNAcentral describes it as "partial 16S ribosomal RNA". The stretch from base 1 to 108 matches the Rfam family "Bacterial large subunit ribosomal RNA", at positions 2539 to 2646 of the family's 2925-position model. The record is from RNAcentral. Lineage: Eukaryota; Metazoa; Mollusca; Bivalvia; Mytilida; Mytilidae.